This 506-nucleotide ribosomal RNA is filed under the name uncultured bacterium. RNAcentral describes it as "partial 16S ribosomal RNA". It matches the Rfam family "Bacterial small subunit ribosomal RNA", at positions 29 to 523 of the family's 1533-position model. The record is from RNAcentral.
AGUGAACGCUGGCGGUAGGCCUAACACAUGCAAGUCGAACGGCAGCACAGGAGAGCUUGCUCUCUGGGUGGCGAGUGGCGGACGGGUGAGGAAUACAUCGGAAUCUACUCUGUCGUGGGGGAUAACGUAGGGAAACUUUCGCUAAUACCGCAUACGACCUACGGGUGAAAGCAGGGGAUCUUCGGACCUUGCGCGAUUGAAUGAGCCGAUGUCGGAUGAGCUAGAUGGCGGGGUAGAGGCACACCAAGGCGACGAUCCGUAGCUGGGCUGAGAGGAUGAUCAGCCACACUGGGACUGAGACACGGUCCAGACUCCUACGGGAGGCAGCAGUGGGGAAUAUUGGACAAUGGGCGCAAGCCUGAUCCAGCCAUACCGCGUGGGUGAAGAAGGCCUUCGGGUUGUAAAGCCCUUUUGUUGGGAAAGAAAUCCAGCUGGCUAAUACCCGGUGGGGAUGACGGUACCCAAAGAAUAAGCACCGGCUAACUUCGUGCCAGCCGCCGCGGUAA